GCCCGGAUGGCGCAGUGGUCGUGCGCCUGGGUCCCAAAAGUCAUCAUCGAACCUAAUAGGUCUCGCCCACCCUAUUUAAACCUGUGAUGUGAGGGAUGUUGGUUCGAAUCCAGCUCUAGGCA
Oidiodendron maius Zn is the source of this 122-nucleotide transfer RNA. It matches the Rfam family "tRNA". From Rfam's summary of the family: Transfer RNA (tRNA) molecules are approximately 80 nucleotides in length. Their secondary structure includes four short double-helical elements and three loops (D, anti-codon, and T loops). NCBI's taxonomy places the organism in Eukaryota, Fungi, Ascomycota, Leotiomycetes, Myxotrichaceae. The record is from Rfam.